UGCAGAGGAGCCAAGCGUUGUCCGGAUUGACUGGGCGUAAAGCGCACGCAGGCGGCUGCGCGCGUGGGGUGUGAAAUCUGGCCGCUUAACGGCCAGGCGCCAUCCCAUACGGCGCGGCUUGAGCCUUGCAGAGGGCGGUGGAAUUGCCGGUGUAGUGGUGAAAUGCGUAGAGAUCGGCAGGAACACCCAGGGGGAAACCAGCCGCCUGGGCAAGCGCUGACGCUGAGGUGCGAGAGCGUGGGGAGCGAACCGG
Molecule: ribosomal RNA, 253 nt
Filed under: uncultured bacterium
Lineage: Bacteria
Description: partial 16S ribosomal RNA
Rfam family: Bacterial small subunit ribosomal RNA
Source: RNAcentral